This 208-nucleotide non-coding RNA is filed under the name Triticum aestivum (bread wheat). Its description in RNAcentral is "Bacterial large subunit ribosomal RNA". It matches the Rfam family "Bacterial large subunit ribosomal RNA", at positions 164 to 348 of the family's 2925-position model. The record is from Rfam by way of RNAcentral. Lineage: Eukaryota; Viridiplantae; Streptophyta; Magnoliopsida; Poales; Poaceae. RNAcentral also lists the same sequence under 1 other name.
UCAAUGCAGGCAAGAGACAACCUGGCGAACUGAAACAUCUUAGUAGCCAGAGGAAAAGAAAGCAAAAGCGAUUCCCAUAGUAGCGGCGAGCGAAAUGGGAGCAGCCUAAACCGUGAAAACGGGGUUAUGGGAGAGCAAUACAAGCGUUAUGUCUAUGCCCAGAUUGCUCAAUUCCCUAAUUUGUCGCCAACCCAAGAAAAGUUUGAAU